CCUACGGGGGGCAGCAGUAGGGAAUAUUGGGCAAUGGGCGCAAGCCUGACCCAGCAACGCAGCGUGAAGGAAGAAGGCUUUCGGGUUGUAAACUUCUUUUCUCAGGGACGAAGAAAGUGACGGUACCUGAGGAAUAAGCCACGGCUAACUACGUGCCAGCAGCCGCGGUAAUCCGUAGGUGGCAAGCGUUAUCCGGAUUUACUGGGUGUAAAGGGCGGGUAGGCGGGAAAGCAAGUCAGUUGUGAAAACCAGGGGCUCAACCUGUGGCCUGCAUUUGAAACUGUUUUGCUUGAGUACUGGGGAGGCAGACGGAAUUCGUCGUGUAGCGGUGAAAUGCGUAGAUAUGAGGAGGAACACCAGUGGCGAAGGCGGUCUGCUGGACAGCAACUGACGCUGAGGCGCGAAAGCGUGGGGAGCAAACAGGAUUAGAUACCCCAGUAGUC
Molecule: ribosomal RNA, 443 nt
Filed under: uncultured bacterium
Lineage: Bacteria
Description: partial 16S ribosomal RNA
Rfam family: Bacterial small subunit ribosomal RNA
Source: RNAcentral